Molecule: ribosomal RNA, 793 nt
Filed under: Staphylococcus aureus
Lineage: Bacteria; Bacillati; Bacillota; Bacilli; Caryophanales; Staphylococcaceae
Description: partial 23S ribosomal RNA
Rfam family: Bacterial large subunit ribosomal RNA
Source: RNAcentral
UUGUCUCUCUUGAGUGGAUCCUGAGUACGACGGAGCACGUGAAAUUCCGUCGGAAUCUGGGAGGACCAUCUCCUAAGGCUAAAUACUCUCUAGUGACCGAUAGUGAACCAGUACCGUGAGGGAAAGGUGAAAAGCACCCCGGAAGGGGAGUGAAAUAGAACCUGAAACCGUGUGCUUACAAGUAGUCAGAGCCCGUUAAUGGGUGAUGGCGUGCCUUUUGUAGAAUGAACCGGCGAGUUACGAUUUGAUGCAAGGUUAAGCAGUAAAUGUGGAGCCGUAGCGAAAGCGAGUCUGAAUAGGGCGUUUAGUAUUUGGUCGUAGACCCGAAACCAGGUGAUCUACCCUUGGUCAGGUUGAAGUUCAGGUAACACUGAAUGGAGGACCGAACCGACUUACGUUGAAAAGUGAGCGGAUGAACUGAGGGUAGCGGAGAAAUUCCAAUCGAACCUGGAGAUAGCUGGUUCUCUCCGAAAUAGCUUUAGGGCUAGCCUCAAGUGAUGAUUAUUGGAGGUAGAGCACUGUUUGGACGAGGGGCCCCUCUCGGGUUACCGAAUUCAGACAAACUCCGAAUGCCAAUUAAUUUAACUUGGGAGUCAGAACAUGGGUGAUAAGGUCCGUGUUCGAAAGGGAAACAGCCCAGACCACCAGCUAAGGUCCCAAAAUAUAUGUUAAGUGGAAAAGGAUGUGGCGUUGCCCAGACAACUAGGAUGUUGGCUUAGAAGCAGCCAUCAUUUAAAGAGUGCGUAAUAGCUCACUAGUCGAGUGACACUGCGCCGAAAAUGUACCGGGGCUA